RNAcentral lists this long non-coding RNA (257 nucleotides) under Meriones unguiculatus (Mongolian gerbil). Its description in RNAcentral is "Rhabdomyosarcoma 2 associated transcript conserved region 7 (ENSMUGG00000020317.1)". It matches the Rfam family "Rhabdomyosarcoma 2 associated transcript conserved region 7". Lineage: Eukaryota; Metazoa; Chordata; Mammalia; Rodentia; Muridae. The record is from RNAcentral.
UAUGUAGAAAAGAACUUUUGUUAGAGUUCUAAAAGAAUUUAAUAUUUUUAGUCGAAUGUGGUAAUGCAGAGAGAUGAUUGUGACACAUGAUGAAUAAAAUGUGCUCUUUUACAUGGAAAUAUAAUACAUGUCCUGCAGGUGAGUGGACCCAUAGCAAUUUUACUGAAGAUUAAAGUUUGACUGACCUUUGGUAGGGUGAUUAACCUUUCUGAAAUUAAAAGCUGCAUCUGAAUUAGUCUGUCUAAUUUAAAUGCAAA